GGAGCAGAACGUGAAUUCAAUGAACGAACAAAAAUGUAAGCUAACAACAGGGAAUAAAGAAUCUCGUAAAUCGGAUAUUACUGCAUUCUUCAGAUCUCUUUGGCAUAGAAUUGAGACGUAUGGAGAAGAAUCCAAGGGGCCAACAAAAUAUGGGGAUUGCUAUUUCUAGCUGACCAAAUGAUGAGAAAUACUACGUAGACUCAUAUGAACGAAGUAUGCUGCCGCUGUACACUUAAAGCAAAAAUAUUUAUUUACUACGUAACGAUGUUCGUUACUUCAUGAAGUGAAUUACGUCUUCCCGGCUUAUUUCCUGCCGCGAAGAAAGAAGGUUAACAAGCGUGGAAGUAACGCUUCAUGUAUGCAAAUGGAUCUUCAGCAGGGUCUAAACUGGAGAGCUCGGGGCUGAUUUCAUUGUACGUACGAUUAUUGAUCGACUCAUUAAAAGUGUUUUCAACUGGAGACAGCGCUAUUCAGAAUGUCAUGCGUAUAUCUGUGUACGUGUGUGUUUGCGAAAAUACCGUACGUUUAACUAACUAAAAGAGAGUUAACGAACCUUAAGGGUUGCUGCAGUUCGGGCACGAAUUUCUCGAAGGUCCAAAUUGGGAUACUAAAUUCAAUUAUUGUUAAAUAUACGACUGACUCUGCAACUGGAUAUGAGUUUGAAAUUUCGUAUCGCGAUGCUCGUUGGCUCAGUUCAUUUAAUUUGCUAGCAAAGAGUACGAGUGAAAAAUAUCGUCAAAUAUAUCAGCUUAGGAGUUUGAAUGAGAGAAAAGUUACUGACGUAUUGUGUAAAGAUAAUUACAUUUAAACUUGUAUAAAUGAAUAACAAUAUGUAUUUUCAUUCAUUGUGUGUAUGUGUCAGGAACAGUAGCUUACUUAAUUAAAAUCUCAAUUUAGUUGAAAUUACGUACGGCUGGGUAAACACGUGAUAACUAAGUAUGGUAAAGUUGACGUUAUUAUGACUUCAUUUAAAUAAAGGUAAUGGUUAUCAAGCUUGAAAGUUUAACAGCUUUCAGAAUGUUCAUGCUUGUUUCUUCUAAGGAGCUUUGACCUCAGUUACAACUAAAUUUACUUGAGCAGCGAUGCCCCAGGAGAAUCACUUUACCCCGAGGGACACCACGAUUUAAAGCCACGUUGCUCAUAAUAUUUCAACGUAUUUACUUCACAUUAUUAUAUUUAGUUAAUCAAAGUCAAAUAAAAUUUUGUAACCAACUUUUAUCAUAAUUAUA
Long non-coding RNA from Ceratina calcarata, 1229 nucleotides. RefSeq lists it as uncharacterized. NCBI's taxonomy places the organism in Eukaryota, Metazoa, Arthropoda, Insecta, Hymenoptera, Apidae. The transcript has 3 exons. The record is from RefSeq and is a predicted model, not a curated record.